This 433-nucleotide ribosomal RNA is filed under the name uncultured bacterium. Its description in RNAcentral is "partial 16S ribosomal RNA". It matches the Rfam family "Bacterial small subunit ribosomal RNA", at positions 29 to 507 of the family's 1533-position model. The record is from RNAcentral.
AACGAACGCUGGCGGCAUGCCUAACACAUGCAAGUCGAACGAGACCUUCGGGUCUACUGGCGCACGGGUGCGUAACGCGUGGGAACCUGCCCUUAGGUUCGGAAUAAUUCCCCUAAAGGGGUGCUAAUACCGGAUAAUGUCUUCUGACCCAAGAUUUAUCGCCUUUGGAUGGGCGCGCGUUGGAUUAGCCGGUUGGUAGUGUAAAAGCCUACCAAGGCGAAGUUCCUUAGCUGGUCGCAGAGGAUGGUCAGCGACACUGGGGCUGAGACGCGGCACAGAAUCCUAGGGGAGGGAGCAGAGGGGAAUAUUGGAAAACGGGCGAAAGCCUGAUCAAGCAAGGCCUGGUAAGUGAUGAUGUCCUGAGGGUAGUAAAGCUCUUUUACCCGGGACGAUAAUGACAGUACCGGGAGAAUAAGCACCGGCUAACUUCGUG